Molecule: long non-coding RNA, 461 nt
Filed under: Homo sapiens (human)
Lineage: Eukaryota; Metazoa; Chordata; Mammalia; Primates; Hominidae
Description: non-protein coding lnc-FGD3-3:4
Source: RNAcentral
UCUUGUCUCCUCGCGUCAUCUUGUCUCCCAGUGUCCAGUAGGGCAGAGGGGGAUGCCCAGAGGCAGGAUGAAAAACCACAGUCUUCAGAGCUUGUAGAGAGUGCCUGAGAGGCCUGGAGGAGACUUGGGACCUGCUUUCACAACUGCAGAGAGAAUCCUUCCAGUGUGCUGGCUGACAGUUCCAUGAGGAUGGCAAAAGUGAAGAAAUUGUAGCGCCAGUAAAAAAGAGAUGGAUACACUUCUUGGGAAUUUUUUAAGCUAUGGGACAUGAUGAAUUAAUGGUGCAUGAGUAUACUCUUCACUGUGAAAGUUUUUGUUUUCACAUCUUUCAUUAGAUGUGUGUAAGAAAAAGAUACUGAACGUAGUAUCUACUAACCCAAUAAUGAAAAGGAAUGCCAUUUGCUAUUUACACUUUAUUACUAAAAUAAACCUAAAUUUAAUUAAUAAAUUUUGGAAACAUA